UACGGAGGGUGCAAGCGUUGUCCGGAUUCACUGGGUUUAAAGGGUGCGUAGGUGGGUUGGUAAGUCAGUGGUGAAAUCUCCGGGCUUAACCCGGAAACUGCCGUUGAUACUAUCUGUCUUGAAUAUCGUGGAGAUGAGCGGAAUAUGUCAUGUAGCGGUGAAAUGCUUAGAUAUGACAUAGAACACCGAUUGCGAAGGCAGCUCGUUACACGAUUAUUGACACUGAGGCACGAAAGCGUGGGGAUCAAACAGG
RNAcentral lists this ribosomal RNA (253 nucleotides) under uncultured bacterium. RNAcentral's name for it is "partial 16S ribosomal RNA". It matches the Rfam family "Bacterial small subunit ribosomal RNA", at positions 524 to 776 of the family's 1533-position model. The record is from RNAcentral.